AGCAGCCGCGGUAAUUCCAGCUCCAAUAGCGUAUAUUAAAGUUGUUGCAGUUAAAAAGCUCGUAGUUGAAUUUCGGGAUCAGUACGCCGGUCGUGCCUUAGGUAUGUACUAGUGUCACUGAUUCCUCUCUUCUGACGAACCGUCAUGCUAUUAAUUUGGUGUGGCGGGGAAUCAGGACUGUUACUUUGAAAAAUUAGAGUGUUUAAAGCAGGCUCGCGCUUGAAUACAUUAGCAUGGAAUAAUGAAAUAGGACGUUUGAUCCUAUUUUGUUGGUUUCUAGGAUUGACGUAAUGAUUAAUAGGGAUAGUUGGGGGCAUUAGUAUUCAAUUGUCAGAGGUGAAAUUCUUGGAUUUAUUGAAGACUAACUACUGCGAAAGCAUUUGCCAAGGAUGUUUUCAUUAAUCAAGAACGAAAGUUAGGGGAUCGAAGACGAUCAGAUACCGUCGUAGU
RNAcentral lists this ribosomal RNA (450 nucleotides) under uncultured Glomeromycotina. Its description in RNAcentral is "SSU rRNA". It matches the Rfam family "Eukaryotic small subunit ribosomal RNA", at positions 569 to 1024 of the family's 1831-position model. The record is from RNAcentral. Lineage: Eukaryota; Fungi; Glomeromycota.